Molecule: RNA transcript, 2676 nt
Organism: Mus musculus (house mouse)
Lineage: Eukaryota; Metazoa; Chordata; Mammalia; Rodentia; Muridae
Gene name: expressed sequence AA619741
Exons: 1
Source: RefSeq, marked provisional
CUUCCCAGAAACAGUUUCUGGACAGGACACUGAUGCCAAGUGACAAAGGGACCUCCAAGCGGCUUCGGAAGAAAGGAAAGAGAAAGCCUGCUUUGUUGCCUCAGGAAUCCCAGCAGCAGAAAAGGCGAGCUUGUAGAAGAAGAAGAUCGAAGUUUUCACUGGAAGAUGCUAUUCCCCGAAGUGCUGGCACCUCAGCCUGGAGCACAACCCGCCAACUGGCCAGUAUAUUCGGCUUCACACCGGAUGAAAUUCAGAGUAGCUCGGGCCAGACCUUCUCAGAUGUGGAUUCCUCGGACGCUGCCAGCACCUCCCGCUCUGCCUCCACCAGCCUUUCCUACAGAUGGACGGUAGGCAGGAGAAAGCUGGCAGCCAAAGCGCCCAGGACCCUGCGGGCAAAGCUUUGGGCGGCCGAGCUGGAUAAGCACUUCGCCUCAGACAAUGCAGAAGGAGCUGCGGGCCCUGAGCAACAGGAUGAAGGCAUCGACAGCCACACACCUAAAAGCACGAGUGGAGAGGAAUCCUCCCAGUCCUACCUCAAGGCGUGUAUCACCAACUACUUUUGUGCAGCCGGGCGCUUGGCCUGCGGGGAAGAGUGUCAGGUGUUGGCGCGGAGGGUCACCCCAGAAGGCAAGGUUCAGUACCUAUUGGAAUGGGAGGGGACCACCCCUUGAUGAUUAGCCCUCAGAGGCUGCCCAGUUCCCUGAAAACCAAAGGAGGGGCAGAAGAGGCGUCUGGGUCUCUGUUUUCUCCAGUCUCGGGGUGGUGGAGAGAACCAACAUCCUGGCUGCGGUCCCUGCCUGUUUCCUGCCAGGGCUAGGCCUGUAUGCUGCUGUACCUGGGUCUCUAAGACCCCAACUGGCUCUCUACCAUUGUCUAGAGUACACUCCAUACCCCUCAAACAUUUUAUUGGUUCCUCUGACAGUACCCUAGCUGUGUCCCCUGAUCUGAGGCCUGAAUCUGUUUUUCAUUGUCCCCAAUUCUCCAUCUUUUGCACUCUGCCCUCUCACCCCUUCCAGGUGUUUUGUGUGGUCACACAUCUCCCGUGCAUGCGCAUACGCUCAUCUGUUCCCUCACUGGGCAUGCUUCACUGGGUCCUCACUGGGACUACAGGGAGGGAAGGGAACCCUGGGGGUCUUCUACUUUCUCACUAGUACCCCUCACCCCAGGAGGGUAGGGAUGCCUGAGAAAGUUUACGAUGCCUGGGACCCAGAGGCUGGGGAGUGAUGAGCUGGGUCUCUGCUGAAGGAACUGGAAUCAGGGUCCUUUAUUGAGGCUGGGAGGGGAGACUAAGGGAGUCAGGGCCAAGGCUCCCAGAAGUUUGCCUAUUCCCAGCAACAACCCUUCACUGUUGUCAGGGACUGGGGCCUGACCUUGCUGCGUAGACAUGUUCUUAAACACAUAGAUGGGGAGGAAGACCAGGCCAGAUUAAAUCCCAUCCCACACACUGUGCAUACAAACACCACCACAUAUUCCCAAAAGGGCCUCCUGGCCCCCAUCCUUGGCCUCUUCCAGGGAUAUAUGCUUCAGUUAAAUGUGAAAACCAAACUCCUGCCUCCUCUGGCCUGUGGACCAGCCUUGGCCCCACAGAGAAGCACAAAAGACCCCCCCCCCCAUCACCACCACCCCUUCUCCUGCAUGGCUCCUGCCUCGUCCUGGAGCUGACAAUCACUUUUGGGACAGGCUGGGGGUUUCCAAGGGCCCAAAUCAUUGGUUCCCUUCAGAAAGGAAGUCUUUGUCAUCGAUGGUACAAAUUGAAUUCUUAGAAUGGACAAACUCGGCCGUGUCUGGAGGGAUACCAAAACUAGGAGGUGGGCAGGGAGCCCUUAUUUUGCCUGCAAAAACAGAAACUGACUUGCUCAGCUCAGAAAAUGGAAAGAAGCACCUUUGGGGUGGGAGGCAGAGGCAUCGGACCUUUGGGGUGGGAGGCAGAGGCAUCGGACUGGGAGCGGCCUCCCUGCCUGCUGCUGUGGCUUCCGCUGGGAGUGGGAAGAUGGACUGCGUGAUGGCGGCAGACUAUAUCAGAGGCGCCGCUUUUUCCUAUGACUGGGUCCGACUCCUCCUCACCUGCCCAUGAACAUUAAGGGGGAUCCCUGAGGUAGGUUAGAUGGCCCCUGCCUUAAACCCGAGCCACCAUAGUGCCUUGCAAAGGAAGCUUUCCUCUCACUAGACACAGUACCCACUUCCCUCUGCUUCCCCGUCUGGGCUCAGGCAGGGAUACAAAGAUGGACACCAGGCCCAGUGGUCAGACCCACAGCUGCCGCCACUGAGGUCCCCAAGUGGGGCCUGGCAGAGGGAGAGUUGUAAAGUCAACUCCCAGGCCCUAUUGGCUUCAGUGAGCACGGCAACCUCCAACACAUGUGUUUUCCAGGCCACUGGGGAAGCCAGAGUUAGGAUGGCUAUUUAUACAUCUGCCCCUCCCCUGCUGUGCCCCAGAAGCUCUGGGCCUGAGGAGCAGGAAGGCAGGUGGGGUGUUCAUCCCAUUGGGGAUGCUAGCAUAAGGUCUGACCAGGUCCCCGGACUCCCCACGGCAGCAUUUCACCCCUACAAGAUAAUAGCUGCAUUACUGCCAACUGACGGUAUAACCCUGUGCACCUUUGAAAAAGAUUUUGGUUUUAAAUUGCUGCUUUUAAUAAUAGUUGUUAUAUUAAAGUUAUAAUUGAAGUGUCUGGUUUACAA